GACGAACGCUGGCGGCGUGCUUAACACAUGCAAGUCGAACGGAAAGGCCUGCUUUCCCUUGUGGAUUGCGGGUACUCGAGUGGCGAACGGGUGAGUAACACGUGAGUGAUCUGCCCCCAACUUGGGUAUAAGCCUGGGAAACUGGGUCUAAUUCCCGAUAGGACUGCAGGGUGGUGCCCGUGGUGGAAAACGAUUUUCUAGUGGUUGGGGAUGAGCUCGCGGCCUAUCAGCUUGUGGGUGGGGUAAUGGCCUACCAAGGCGGCGACGGGUAGCCGGCCUGAGAGGAUGGACGGACACAGUGAGACUGGGAUACGGCCCAGACGCCUACGGGAGGCAGCGGUGGGGAAUAAUGGACAAUGGGCGGGAGCCUGAAGCAGCGACGCCGCGUGGGAGAUGACGGCCUUCGGGUUGUAAACUCCUUUCGACCGCGAGGAAGCCACCUGGUUGGAAGGGGGGUGACGGUAGUGGUAGAAGAAGCACCGGCUAACUACGUG
This 494-nucleotide ribosomal RNA is filed under the name uncultured bacterium. Its description in RNAcentral is "partial 16S ribosomal RNA". It matches the Rfam family "Bacterial small subunit ribosomal RNA", at positions 28 to 507 of the family's 1533-position model. The record is from RNAcentral.